Xyrichtys novacula (pearly razorfish) is the source of this 1514-nucleotide non-coding RNA. Lineage: Eukaryota; Metazoa; Chordata; Actinopteri; Labriformes; Labridae. The record is from the annotation of a GenBank genome assembly.
UUAGGGUUGGAGCUAGGGUUAGGGUUAGGGUUAGGGUUGGAGUUAGGGUUAGUGUUGGAGCUAGGGUUAGGGUUGGGCUUGGAGCUAGGAUUUUUCUGAGUGCAAUGAACCAACUCCCGAGUCUCUAGGACGUUCCUAAAAAAAUUUGAUUUUUUUCCUAUAGGAAUGCAUGGGUUAGGGUUAGGGUUAGGGUUGGAGUUAGGGUUAGUGUUGGAGCUAGGGUUAGGGUUGGGCUUGGAGCUAGGAUUUUUCUGAGUGCAAUGAACCAACUCCCGAGUCUCUAGGACAUUCCUAAAAAAAUUUGAUUUUUUCCCAUAGGAAUGCAUGGGUUAGGGUUAUGGUUAGGGUUAGGGUUGGAGCUAGGGUUAGGGUUAGGGUUAGGGUUGGAGUUAGGGUUAGUGUUGGAGCUAGGGUUAGGGUUGGGCUUGGAGCUAGGAUUUUUCUGAGUGCAAUGAACCAACUCCCGAGUCUCUUGGACGUUCCUAAAAAAAUUUGAUUUUUUCCCAUAGGAAUGCAUGGGUUAGGGUUAGGGUUAGGGUUGGAGCUAGGGUUAGGGUUAGGGUUAGGGUUAGGGUUGGAGUCAGGGUUAGUGUUGGAGCUAGGGUUAGGGUUGGGCUUGGAGCUAGGAUUUUUCUGAGUGCAAUGAACCAACUCCCGAGUCUCUAGGACUUUCCUAAAAAAAUUUGAUUUUUUCCCAUAGGAAUGCAUGGGUUAGGGUUAGGGUUAGGGUUGGAGCUAGGGUUAGGGUUAGGGUUAGGGUUGGAGUUAGGGUUAGUGUUGGAGCUAGGGUUAGGGUUGGGCUUGGAGCUAGGAUUUUUCUGAGUGCACUGAACCAACUCCCGAGUCUCUAGGACAUUCCUAAAAAAAUUUGAUUUUUUCCCAUAGGAAUGCAUGGGUUAGGGUUAUGGUUAGGGUUAGGGUUGGAGCUAGGGUUAGGGUUAGGGUUAGGGUUGGAGUUAGGGUUAGUGUUGGAGCUAGGGUUAGGGUUGGGCUUGGAGCUAGGAUUUUUCUGAGUGCAAUGAACCAACUCCCGAGUCUCUAGGACGUUCCUAAAAAAAUUUGAUUUUUUCCCAUAGGAAUGCAUGGGUUAGGGUUAGGGUUAGGGUUGGAGCAAGGGUUAGGGUUAGGGUUAGGGUUAGGGUUGGAGUCAGGGUUAGUGUUGGAGCUAGGGUUAGGGUUGGGCUUGGAGCUAGGAUUUUUCUGAGUGCACUGAACCAACUCCCGAGUCUCUAGGACAUUCCUAAAAAAAUUUGAUUUUUUCCCAUAGGAAUGCAUGGGUUAGGGUUAUGGUUAGGGUUAGGGUUGGAGCUAGGGUUAGGGUUAGGGUUAGGGUUGGAGUUAGGGUUAGUGUUGGAGCUAGGGUUAGGGUUGGGCUUGGAGCUAGGAUUUUUCUGAGUGCAAUGAACCAACUCCCGAGUCUCUUGGACGUUCCUAAAAAAAUUUGAUUUUUUCCCAUGGGAAUGCAUGGGUUAGGGUUAUGGUUAGGGUUGGAGCUAGGGUUAGGGUUAGGGUUA